UACGUAGGGUGCGAGCGUUGUCCGGAAUUAUUGGGCGUAAAGGGCUCGUAGGCGGUUUGUCGCGUCGGCCGUGAAAUCUCCACGCUUAACGUGGAGCGUGCGGUCGAUACGGGCAGACUUGAGUUCGGUAGGGGAGACUGGAAUUCCUGGUGUAGCGGUGAAAUGCGCAGAUAUCAGGAAGAACACCAGUGGCGAAAGGCGGCU
Molecule: ribosomal RNA, 204 nt
Filed under: uncultured bacterium
Lineage: Bacteria
Description: partial 16S ribosomal RNA
Rfam family: Bacterial small subunit ribosomal RNA
Source: RNAcentral